Molecule: ribosomal RNA, 500 nt
Filed under: Mycolicibacterium rhodesiae
Lineage: Bacteria; Bacillati; Actinomycetota; Actinomycetes; Mycobacteriales; Mycobacteriaceae
Description: bacterial SSU rRNA
Rfam family: Bacterial small subunit ribosomal RNA
Source: RNAcentral
UGGAGAGUUUGAUCCUGGCUCAGGACGAACGCUGGCGGCGUGCUUAACACAUGCAAGUCGAACGGAAAGGCCCUUCGGGGUACUCGAGUGGCGAACGGGUGAGUAACACGUGGGUGAUCUGCCCUGCACUUUGGGAUAAGCCUGGGAAACUGGGUCUAAUACCGGAUAGGACUACGGCCUUCAUGGGUUGUGGUGGAAAGCUUUUGCGGUGUGGGAUGGGCCCGCGGCCUAUCAGCUUGUUGGUGGGGUAAUGGCCUACCAAGGCGACGACGGGUAGCCGGCCUGAGAGGGUGUCCGGCCACACUGGGACUGAGAUACGGCCCAGACUCCUACGGGAGGCAGCAGUGGGGAAUAUUGCACAAUGGGCGCAAGCCUGAUGCAGCGACGCCGCGUGAGGGAUGACGGCCUUCGGGUUGUAAACCUCUUUCAGUAGGGACGAAGCGCAAGUGACGGUACCUAUAGAAGAAGGACCGGCCAACUACGUGCCAGCAGCCGCGGUA